GGACUAGUUUGGCGUUUUUAUGGCGUUUUUGUGGUUUUGACGAAAAACUUGCUUUAUAUAGGAUUACAAAUAGGGAACUGACUUUAUGUAUAGCUACUCGCAAGUUAAAAGUUACUUGUAUACUGACAAUUGACUGUGCAAACAGCUGUUUUUCGCUUCGCUUUAUUAAUAUGGUAUAACUACUUAAGGCUCUAAAUAGAAGCAAUAAUAUUUACAGAAGAAGGCUGUUAAGCGGCCAUACUUAAUUGCUUCGCUAUGUUUGUGCACUCUACUUAAGCCCGGGUUAAACGAGGAUGAGAGUGUAUGAGAGUUGGCAGUGACGCGGCCUUGGUUAGCUGUUCUUAAUGCUUUCCGAACACUAUUGCGAUAUCAUGUAUUUUAUUUAAGUUAGGACAUGCACGUUUGGAAAUCUAAAGCUUGAAAUGUCCCCGUAACAAUGCGUGACUGCCGAGGUCUCCGUCAAUUCUCAUCCUCGUUUGACCUUAAUUAAAUAAUAUAUUAUUAAAACACACAUCUUUAAAUUAAAUCCCUAAUGCUACAAUUAUAUAUUUACAUGCGUCAUACACUGCAAAAAACCUGAGUAUUUUGACUGAAAAACUUGAUUAAAAUACCGCACCCUGCA
This is a non-coding RNA of Paramuricea clavata, 622 nucleotides long. NCBI's taxonomy places the organism in Eukaryota, Metazoa, Cnidaria, Anthozoa, Malacalcyonacea, Plexauridae. The record is from the annotation of a GenBank genome assembly.